AUUGAACGCUGGCGGCAUGCCUUACACAUGCAAGUCGAACGGCAGCACGGGGGCAACCCUGGUGGCGAGUGGCGAACGGGUGAGUAAUACAUCGGAACGUGCCCGGUAGUGGGGGAUAGCUCGGCGAAAGCCGGAUUAAUACCGCAUACGACCUACGGGUGAAAGCGGGGGAUCGCAAGACCUCGCGCCAUCGGAGCGGCCGAUGUCAGAUUAGGUUGUUGGUGGGGUAAAGGCCCACCAAGCCGACGAUCUGUAGCUGGUCUGAGAGGACGACCAGCCACACUGGGACUGAGACACGGCCCAGACUCCUACGGGAGGCAGCAGUGGGGAAUUUUGGACAAUGGGCGAAAGCCUGAUCCAGCCAUGCCGCGUGCGGG
Molecule: ribosomal RNA, 377 nt
Filed under: uncultured bacterium
Lineage: Bacteria
Description: bacterial SSU rRNA
Rfam family: Bacterial small subunit ribosomal RNA
Source: RNAcentral